CCCUUAGAUGUCCUGGGCCGCACGCGCGUUACACUGAUGCAUUCAACGAGCUUAUAACCUUGGCCGAGAGGCCUGGGCAAUCUUGUUAACGUGCAUCGUGAUAGGGAUAGAUUAUUGAAAUUAUUAAUCUUGAACGAGGAAUUCCUAGUAAACGCAGAUCAUCAAUCUGCAUUGAUUACGUCCCUGCCCUUUGUACACACCGCCCGUCGCACCUACCGAUUGGAUGGUCCGGUGAAGCCUCGGGAUUGUGGUUCUUGCCGAUUUAUUGUGGCGUGACCGCGAGAACUUGUCUAAACCUUAUCAUCUAGAGGAAGGUGAAGUCGUAACA
RNAcentral lists this ribosomal RNA (328 nucleotides) under uncultured eukaryote. RNAcentral describes it as "partial 18S ribosomal RNA". It matches the Rfam family "Eukaryotic small subunit ribosomal RNA", at positions 1470 to 1796 of the family's 1831-position model. The record is from RNAcentral.